AUGUAUCUUCAUUUUCCACUUGUUUCUUUCCCUACCCAGGCUCUGGUAGCCAAGUCGAAAGCAUCUCGUCGAGUUCUGGAAAGGAAACAGGCCUCGGUCACUUUCACACAGACAAGAUCCUCUCAGCCACGCACCAAGCAAACCACCAUCUCUGCCUUCUUCAGCUCCCAGACAGAUGAUAAAGAAAACUCCAGGCUGUCUCCUUUCAUCCCAAAAUGUAAAGAAAAAGGUAUUUCUUUGGCUGCUUCCCCUGUGAAGAUCUUGGCUUUGCCGCAGAUGGAGGAAGGCCGUAAGGAAUCGUUCAGCACCGAGGUGGGGACGGCGCGGGCUGCGCCGCGGUGUCCUGCUCCGUCCCCUUUGCCGGACUCUUCGGUGUUAGAAGGGGAGUCCUGUGGCACGAGCGAAGCCUCCUGUGGGGUGGGAGAGGAUUCCUGCUUCUUCAGCUUCACCCAGGACUCGGAGGGCAACCGCAUCAUCGCUCACAGAAACGCAUCUGAUUUAUUUGCUGGAGAAACAGUUUCGGUGAGCAGCAAACGAGGGGGGAGGCUGCUCCCAGAGGAGACAAUUGGACUCGAUUUCCAACCCAGACUCGGUGCAAACGAGAAGAAGAAACCACACCCAUCGAGUAGCAUUAAUUCUUUCACUGAUUUCACUGAGACUGAGAAUACAAAUCCUACUCUGAGGAGAGACAGCACCUGUGCUGCUGGCUUUUAUCCCUCUCCCCAGAGAUCGGCCAGAGCGCAGCCCCUGAGAGAACGCAACCACAACGUGGGGGCUGGAUCAGCCCAGGAGGGACGGGGCAGUCCCUGCAGGGAGCUCUUCACCCAGGACUCCCAGGGGAACAGGGUGAUCGCUCACCGUGCCCAGACCCUUCCAUCCCCCUCCAAGGGCUGCUCCGGCAACGGGAGCUUGAGCGAAGCUGAGGAGCACAAGUUGGACACAUGCUACGAUUUACUGUUCACACAGGAUUCAGAAGGGAACAGAGUGAUUAAACACUGGUAAGUGACCUUUCCUGAGGCUUCACAAGAGGUCGUUACGUGACCAACAGGUCCCGUAACGACCUCUUGUGAAGCCUCAGGAAAGCAUUUUUUUAGUAUGAGUAAGUGUACCCAUUAUUUAUGUCUAUAUGGGCUGGCCAGUAGUAGACCCACGCAACGAGCAGGACCUCUUUUGUUCUCAGAAAUGUUGAUGUUAAUAAAAAUUCAAUAUUGAAGGAGUCA
This 1220-nucleotide long non-coding RNA is filed under the name Calidris pugnax (ruff). RNAcentral describes it as "lncRNA (ENSCPUG00000016284.1)". Lineage: Eukaryota; Metazoa; Chordata; Aves; Charadriiformes; Scolopacidae. The record is from RNAcentral.